This 406-nucleotide ribosomal RNA is filed under the name uncultured bacterium. RNAcentral's name for it is "partial 16S ribosomal RNA". It matches the Rfam family "Bacterial small subunit ribosomal RNA", at positions 30 to 526 of the family's 1533-position model. The record is from RNAcentral.
AUUGAACGCUUGCGGCAUGCUUUACACAUGCAAGUCGAACGAGUGGCGAACGGGUGAGUAAUAUAUCGGAACGUACCGAGUAAUGGGGGAUAACCAAUCGAAAGAUUGGCUAAUACCGCAUAUUAUUCGAGCGGCCGAUAACUGAUUAGCUAGGUGGUGGGGAAAAGGCCUACCAAGGCGACGAUCAGUAGCGGGUCGUAGAGGACGAUCAGACACACUGGGACUGAGACACGGCCCAGACUCCGACGUGAGGCAGCAGUGGGGAGUAGUGGACAAUGGGCGCAAGCCUGAUACAGCACUGCCGAGUGUGUGAAGAAGGCCUUCGGGAUGUAAAGUACUUUCAGCGGGGAGGCGUUACCCGCAGAAGAAGCACAGGCUAACUCCGUGCCAGCAGCCGCGGUAAUUC